RNAcentral lists this transfer RNA (62 nucleotides) under Adelastes hylonomos (Neblina frog). RNAcentral's name for it is "tRNA-Ser". Lineage: Eukaryota; Metazoa; Chordata; Amphibia; Anura; Microhylidae. The record is from RNAcentral.
GAAAGGCUAGACCGAGAACUGCUAAUUCCUCGGAACCAUGGUUCAACUCCAUGGCCCGCUCA